AACGCUGGCGGCAUGCCUUACACAUGCAAGUCGAACGGCAGCACGGGAGCAAUCCUGGUGGCGAGUGGCGAACGGGUGAGUAAUGUAUCGGAACGUGCCCAGUCGUGGGGGAUAACGCAGCGAAAGCUGUGCUAAUACCGCAUACGAUCUAUGGAUGAAAGCGGGGGAUCGCAAGACCUCGCGCGACUGGAGUGGCCGAUAUCAGAUUAGCUAGUUGGUGGGGUAAAGGCUCACCAAGGCGACGAUCUGUAGCUGGUCUGAGAGGACGACCAGCCACACUGGAACUGAGACACGGUCCAGACUCCUACGGGAGGCAGCAGUGGGGAAUUUUGGACAAUGGGCGCAAGCCUGAUCCAGCAAUGCCGCGUGCAGGAUGAAGGCCUUCGGGUUGUAAACUGCUUUUGUACGGAGCGAAAAGGUACUCUCUAAUACAGGGUGCUCAUGACGGUACCGUAAGAAUAAGCACCGGCUAACUACGUG
Molecule: ribosomal RNA, 480 nt
Filed under: uncultured bacterium
Lineage: Bacteria
Description: bacterial SSU rRNA
Rfam family: Bacterial small subunit ribosomal RNA
Source: RNAcentral